GAUGAACGCUGGCGGCGUGCCUAAUACAUGCAAGUCGAGCGAACAGACGAGGAGCUUGCUCCUCUGACGUUAGCGGCGGACGGGUGAGUAACACGUGGAUAACCUACCUAUAAGACUGGGAUAACUUCGGGAAACCGGAGCUAAUACCGGAUAAUAUAUUGAACCGCAUGGUUCAAUAGUGAAAGACGGUUUUGCUGUCACUUAUAGAUGGAUCCGCGCCGCAUUAGCUAUUUGGUAAGGUAACGGCUUACCAAGGCAACGAUGCUUAGCCGACCUGAGAGGGGGAUCGGCCACACUGGAACUGAGAAACGGUCCAGACCCCUACGGGAGGAAGCAGUAGGGAAUCUUCCGAAAUGGGCGAAAGCCUGACGGAGCAACGCCGCGUGAGUGAUGAAGGUCUUCGGAUCGUAAAACUCUGUUAUUAGGGAAGAACAAAUGUGUAAGUAACUAUGCACGUCUUGACGGUACCUAAUCAGAAAGCCACGGCUAACUACGUG
RNAcentral lists this ribosomal RNA (497 nucleotides) under uncultured bacterium. RNAcentral describes it as "partial 16S ribosomal RNA". It matches the Rfam family "Bacterial small subunit ribosomal RNA", at positions 28 to 507 of the family's 1533-position model. The record is from RNAcentral.